This 301-nucleotide ribosomal RNA is filed under the name uncultured bacterium. RNAcentral describes it as "partial 16S ribosomal RNA". It matches the Rfam family "Bacterial small subunit ribosomal RNA", at positions 509 to 807 of the family's 1533-position model. The record is from RNAcentral.
CAGUAGCCGCGGUAAUACGUAGGGUGCGAGCGUUAAUCGGAAUUACUGGGCGUAAAGCGUGCGCAGGCGGUUUUGUAAGACAGGCGUGAAAUCCCCGGGCUCAACCUGGGAAUGGCGCUUGUGACUGCAAAGCUAGAGUGCGGCAGAGGGGGAUGGAAUUCCGCGUGUAGCAGUGAAAUGCGUAGAUAUGCGGAGGAACACCGAUGGCGAAGGCAGCCCCCUGGGCCAAUACUGACGCUCAUGCACGAAAGCGUGGGGAGCAAACAGGAUUAGAUACCCGCGUAGUCCCUGUCUCUUAUAC